GGAAUUUCGGACAAUGGGCGAAAGCCUGAUCCAGCCAUGCCGCGUGCGGGAAGAAGGCCUUCGGGUUGUAAACCGCUUUUGGCAGGAACGAAACGGCGCGGGCUAAUACCCCGCGCUACUGCCGGUACCUGCAGAAUAAGCACCGGCUAACUACGGUCCAGCAGCCGCGGUAAUACGUAGGGUGCGAGCGUUAAUCGGAAUUACUGGGCGUAAAGCGUACGCAGGCGGCUCUGUAAGACAGAUGUGAAAUCCCCCGGGCUCAACCUGGGAACUGCAUUUGUGACUGCAGGGCUAGAGUAUGUCAGAGGGGGGUGGAAUUCCACGUGUAGCAGUGAAAUGCGUAGAGAUGUGGAGGAACACCGAUGGCGAAGGCAGCCCCCUGGGAUGUGACUGACGCUCAUGUACGAAAGCGUGGGGAGCAAACAGG
Molecule: ribosomal RNA, 427 nt
Filed under: uncultured bacterium
Lineage: Bacteria
Description: bacterial SSU rRNA
Rfam family: Bacterial small subunit ribosomal RNA
Source: RNAcentral